CCUACGGGAGGCAGCAGUCGAGAAUCAUUCACAAUGGGGGAAACCCUGAUGGUGCGACGCCGCGUGGGGGAAUGAAGGUCUUCGGAUUGUAAACCCCUGUCAUGUGGGAGCAAAUUAAAAAGAUAGUACCACAAGAGGAAGAGACGGCUAACUCUGUGCCAGCAGCCGCGGUAAUACAGAGGUCUCAAGCGUUGUUCGGAAUCACUGGGCGUAAAGCGUGCGUAGGCUGUUUCGUAAGUCGUGUGUGAAAGGCGCGGGCUCAACCCGCGGACGGCACAUGAUACUGCGAGACUAGAGUAAUGGAGGGGGAACCGGAAUUCUCGGUGUAGCAGUGAAAUGCGGAGAUAUCGAGAGGAACACUCGGGGCGAAGGCGGGUUCCUGGACAUUAACGGACGCUGGGGCACGAAGGCCAGGGGAGCGAAAGGGAUUAGAUACCCCUGUAGUC
Molecule: ribosomal RNA, 446 nt
Filed under: uncultured bacterium
Lineage: Bacteria
Description: partial 16S ribosomal RNA
Rfam family: Bacterial small subunit ribosomal RNA
Source: RNAcentral